GUUAGUCUGUUACUGAAACUGGCCGAGAUUACUAAAUAACACUGGAUGAACUGUAAUGUUAAAGAACAAUUAAUGUAGUUUUUGUGCAAUAAACCAGUAAUAUAUACAUUUGUUUUCAUUUAUGAGUCAGAUGAAAGUGGGCUAAUUUGUGAACUGGAAAAACACAAAUAACCGUAUUUUAUAUGCUUUUGACACAUCAAGAAGUUAGAAUUAUGAAGAACCUCAAUGUACAAUUCAAAUAAAAUAGUUAUUCUGCAUUAUUCACAAAUCUGAACAUAUCUUUAAAUAGACAUCCAUACUCCAAGACCAGCCAACUUUGCAGAGGCUGUUUGGCAAGAUCUAGUAUACUUUUCCUGAGAAAUAAUUGGUCCCACUUCUUCCAGGACCUAUGUAUGUUAUUACCCAGGGUUUGGCACAGAGAUGCCUGGAUCUCUUUCUACCUGAAUUAUGAUACAGUCUUUGUUAUGCAAACAGAAAAGACUAACCCAACUUUCAUGUGAUUAGCCGUCUGUGAAUUCUGCAUCACACAUAAAAAGAGUUCCAGAAAAAAAUCAAAAUAACAACACAUGAGCAAACCAAAGUUUAAAAAUUAUAAAAGCUAUUUCUGAUUGAUUUGGAAAAAUCGGUACGGUCAUCACAUUAAGGUUUCCUACUCAUUCACCUUCAUCAUAAAGUUGCGAAGUAUUUACAACAGUGGAAUAUUUAUCUUGACCAUUUCUUUGAAGAGAGUGCAUGAGUUUAUAGAUCUGUUUUGUUUAUUUAAAAAAAAUUUGCUUAUGAAAACAAAGCAAAAUAGUGCCUUUCCAAUCUGUGUAUUACAGCAUAUUGUUACAAUUAAACAGCAAUGAAUUGUGUUCAA
Non-coding RNA from Zootermopsis nevadensis, 859 nucleotides. The record is from RefSeq and is a predicted model, not a curated record. NCBI's taxonomy places the organism in Eukaryota, Metazoa, Arthropoda, Insecta, Blattodea, Termopsidae.